ACAGACCGCCGUGAGAGAGGAGGGGUGCCGGCCGGGAUUCGCGGCCCGGAGCUCGGGACCGGAGUCAGGAAUGGAGAGAAGGGUAAUGGUUUUACCUCUUAUUGUGGAAACCUGUUGAGAUCACAGAGAAUAUACUGACGGCAUAAAAGGGCAGAACCAUAGCAGGGUGCGGUUGCUUCAUUCCAGCCUCGCAGUCACCUCUGUGCCCUGCUGGUUGUCUUCCCAGCGCUGCUGUAGUUGCCUUCCAUGGAUCUAUAGGAGAGCAAGUCCUCCAGCUGCACCACAGACGUCCGCCCCAUCUCAGGGAGCCGCCCCGUCUGCCCACUCUGCAAGAAGCCUUUUAAGAAGGAGAACAUCCGACCCGUGUGGCAACUGGCCAGCCUGGUGGAGAACAUUGAGCGGCUGAAGGUGGACAAGGGCAGGCAGCCGGGAGAGGUGACCCGGGAGCAGCAGGAUGCAAAGUUGUGCGAGCGACACCGAGAGAAGCUGCACUACUACUGUG
This 502-nucleotide long non-coding RNA is filed under the name Homo sapiens (human). RNAcentral describes it as "tripartite motif containing 26 (ENSG00000137313.15, ENSG00000226060.7, ENSG00000228881.7)". Lineage: Eukaryota; Metazoa; Chordata; Mammalia; Primates; Hominidae. The record is from RNAcentral.